UAGAGUUAACUGGCUUCCUCACUUAAAACGCCAGCUGCUAAAAACUACUCUCUACCUUAUUUUUUAUUUCAUUUUAUUGUUUUUAUUAUUCAAAGUUAAAAGUAGUUCUCAGACUUCAAACCCUCCUUCGUUUUCUCCGCCUCCCUCUAUGGAUAUGAAGCUAUUUCUCUCUCCUCAUCAAACCCUCAUUAAUCAAGCUUUCCUCAAAACGUCACCCUUUCUCCUCAAUUCUUCAUCAAAGUAGUAUUCACUUUCUCUCCAUUGAUUUGGCUACUUAGGGUUUCAGCGAGGGAGAAGGCGGAGUAAACGAGGUGGUUGCUGCUCAAAAAUGACAAUGCCCCUUUACAAUCCUUUGUUGCUUCAAAGAAUCAUCUUUCUCAUACCUCGAAAUAGAAGCUCUUACAAUGGAAACUAUGGAGUUCUUAAUUAUUUACCUGGAGUUUGAUAUAAGAAGUUUUAUCGUAUACGAUGAGGUGUUGCUCCUCCCUAAGGGCUCUUGGCUACUAGUGAUAAAAACGACACAGGGUUAUAUGCCGAUCUAGAUAUCACACCGGGAAAAUAUUUCAUUUUUUUGAUGGGGUAGGUGCUAUUUGUGUGAUGGUUUAAUUCUAAUUUCACUAGAAUUCUCAAUGAGGUGCUAGCCUGCAAGGUGGUGGACGGUUGUUUAGUUAAUGAGAAUCUUAAUGCCACUAUGGAUAUCACACCGAGAAGAGGAAUAUUUAAUGUAUUUAGAACAUUAUACUAUGUAGUGCCGCAUCCUCCAUAAUUGGUUUUGACAGUAGCUUUCAGAAAGAAGCUAAUAUGAAUAUAUAAGCUAUUCAUCUUUCGGCUGAUAAGGACCCAUUAAUCAUGUUUGACCUUUAAACUAACAUAGGUGGUAAUAGUGACCAUGGUCAAAAGCAGUCAACAAGGAGAUAUCUUGGGGGAACUUUAAGGAGGAGUACAACUAUCGGGCGAGAGGGGGGUGGGGGAAGAAGGAUUAACGAGCAACCAGCUAAUUUCAGGAUCUUUGGUUGAAGAUAAACCACAAUCUGCCAAUUCAGCAAAGGGAGAAAGAACCUCUAGCACGAAUAAAAACAAUAUUGAUCCAAUACUGUCAUUCCCAGAAGUAGUUAUGUGUUUUUGUAGCAUAGACUGCUAGAGUGCUAGCCUUGUAAUUUUUUUAAAAAGUUUGUAAUUAAUGUAUAAUGCAAAAAUUAACAAAAAAUUUGUUACAGUAGUACCUUCUAUGAUCUAUUUCAUCCGUCAAUUUGG
This is a long non-coding RNA of Chenopodium quinoa (quinoa), 1254 nucleotides long. RefSeq lists it as uncharacterized. Lineage: Eukaryota; Viridiplantae; Streptophyta; Magnoliopsida; Caryophyllales; Amaranthaceae. The transcript is spliced from 5 exons. The record is from RefSeq and is a predicted model, not a curated record.